GCCCUUGUAGCUCAGUCGGCAGAGCAUCUCCAUGGUAAGGAGAAGGUCUUCGGUUCGAUUCCGAACGAGGGCU
This 73-nucleotide transfer RNA is filed under the name Spirochaetia bacterium. RNAcentral describes it as "tRNA-Thr". It matches the Rfam family "tRNA". Rfam says of the family: Transfer RNA (tRNA) molecules are approximately 80 nucleotides in length. Their secondary structure includes four short double-helical elements and three loops (D, anti-codon, and T loops). The record is from RNAcentral. Lineage: Bacteria; Pseudomonadati; Spirochaetota; Spirochaetia.